UAUGCGCGGUCUCUUUCAUUCCCGGAUCGCCGUGAAGUUAACGUCGUAGUUCAUCAUUCAAUUAAGUGUAAUAAUAAAAGUGAUUUUUUAAAACGUAACCCGCGUCGCGGUUCUCGUAAUUGGCGCAGCCGGCAGACACGGAUCGAAGGAAAAUAGUGCGAUAACAGUGGUAGCAGCAGGACUAAAAACUGCAGCAUAAGUGGCUUCGUCGAAGGACAUCGGCAGCAAGCAGGCGGAGUUCCCAAAAACAACGCUGCUGUGGAGUUGAAGGCCCCCCCGUGCUUUUCCAGACAUCCGUGCAUCAACGCCCCCCUGACUAGCACUCGUCAGAGGAUUUAGAUUUAUCAACACAAUCAGAUGAUGACACAAUCCACUCCGCGGAGGAGUCUGCUGAAGACUAUGUUCACUUCUUAGGCGUCGAAUUGAAAUAUGCAUCUUCUUCGGAAUCGAAUGGC
This is a long non-coding RNA of Culex pipiens pallens (northern house mosquito), 455 nucleotides long. RefSeq lists it as uncharacterized. The transcript has 3 exons. The record is from RefSeq and is a predicted model, not a curated record. Lineage: Eukaryota; Metazoa; Arthropoda; Insecta; Diptera; Culicidae.